Long non-coding RNA from Cornus florida, 805 nucleotides. RefSeq lists it as uncharacterized. The transcript is spliced from 2 exons. NCBI's taxonomy places the organism in Eukaryota, Viridiplantae, Streptophyta, Magnoliopsida, Cornales, Cornaceae. The record is from RefSeq and is a predicted model, not a curated record.
UAUUUGACACGUAUUUAGGCACUUCCAUAGAAGUUUCCGUGAUCUUGCCUUUGUAAUAAAUAAAAGAGAGAGUUAGAAACGCAUUCUAUUGUAUUGUGGAACACUGAGCUUUGCGUCUUCCCCAUUCCACUAACAUACACCACACAAUAUAACACAAUAAUCUAUGAUGACGUGAAAAAAAAAUCUAAGGAUGACGUGGGGAAGGAAGGGUGGUGUGCUAUUCAAACAGCCUUUAAAUAGAGACAUUUUUGAGCUAUAUCUCUUCAUUGUGAUUUCUGCUCCCUAGCUCUACUGAGCGCUCUCUCUCUCUCUCAAUCAAGAUGUGGCAUUGGUUCGCGCACAUCCUUCACCUUUUCUUCCAUUUGUUUCAUUUUGGUCAUGCGUUUCAUGUGGCGCAUCCCUAUUUUGCUGGGUGAGAUGUGAUUCUAAGCAGCGGUGGUCCAAACUGUUGGGACGAGUGGGUGGUUCUGAACUGGUUCUUAUGGUUAAGCAGUCUGUGUUUAUGGCAUAAGCAUAUGUAACAGAGUAACGCUAUCCAGAGAGCUUCGUCACAGCAAGAAGUAUGGGCUCUGUAUUAUUUUAUCAUUGAAUUGAGAUUAUUUUUUUAGAUGGGUAAAAAGUGUAAUGAAUCUUUUCAUACAUCUUUCAAUUCCGUGAUUAAAAACGAAAAGUUCAUGAAUCUUGCCGCAAACGAAACUCUGUUAAUAGCAUUAUUGUGUUGUCAGUUAUCAAUUGUCAGUUGUGUGUUUUUUUUUGUUUGUAAUAAAUAAAGAAUCCAGUUCAAUGCAAUUAGUAUUUGUUAUCU